Molecule: RNase P RNA, 298 nt
Filed under: Larimichthys crocea (large yellow croaker)
Lineage: Eukaryota; Metazoa; Chordata; Actinopteri; Sciaenidae
Description: Nuclear RNase P (ENSLCRG00005004336.1)
Rfam family: Nuclear RNase P
About the family: Ribonuclease P (RNase P) is a ubiquitous endoribonuclease, found in archaea, bacteria and eukarya as well as chloroplasts and mitochondria. Its best characterised activity is the generation of mature 5'-ends of tRNAs by cleaving the 5'-leader elements of precursor-tRNAs.
Source: RNAcentral
GUGGGUGGAAGCUCAUGGUAGAGGUCACAUGCUGAGUGCUCGUCACUCCACCAAUCACCUCGGGGAAGGUCUGAGACAAGAGCCAAUUGUUACCCUCACAGGGUAUCACCUGAUGCAGGUGAGUGAGUGAACAGAAAGAAUGGUCAUGUGAGCAGUUCAAGCAGGAGAAACCUGGGGUGCUAAAAACUACGGGGUAUGUGACUCUCACUGACUUGGAAUCGCUCGCGGCUGGCGGAUGAGUGCGAUGUUAGGAGGUGGGGCAUAGCCCAGAACCCAAUUCAGACUACUCUCCCCCCAC